Molecule: long non-coding RNA, 2000 nt
Filed under: Vigna radiata
Lineage: Eukaryota; Viridiplantae; Streptophyta; Magnoliopsida; Fabales; Fabaceae
Description: long non-coding RNA (VRAD_LNC006961)
Source: RNAcentral
GUCAUCAAACUCUAAGAAAUACAACCCACUCUACUUCUUAGCAGUUAAAAUUGUCUUUCCCGUGCAAGGGCCUGAAAAACACAAUAAGUUGAAAAAAAUGUUACUAAACAAUUUAAAUCCUUUGUGAGUUUUUGAACAGAGAUAAAAUUGUUAGCUAAUUGAGGAACAUGUAAAACAUCUUUCAAUACAAUAGAUGAGUCCAAAAUUAUAUUACCAGAGCCGCAUAUAGGUAUACCCUGACCAUUUGCAACUGUAAUAAGUUGUUUUUUAUUUCUUUUACCAUGAGUCGAAGGACACACUAAAAGGUAUCAUAUGAUCAAUUGUACCCAAAUCAAGGAUCCAAAUACCUUGAGACACAUGAUCAACAGUAUUGAGGCAAAUCUUACCUUUUAUGGACAAAGUACAUGAUCCAGAGGGCUUACUCAUUGAUUCAUCCAUUGCUUUCAAAGGAAUAAUUUUUACUUCAGACAUCCCGUAGAACGCAACCAGGAGUUUCCAAGACGACGACGACGACGUAUGGUGGUAUCAUAAGCAAAUCCGUGAGGGCUUGGCCUAAAGUGAACAAUAUCCGUGAGGGCUCUGAUACCAUGUUAGAAGUGGAUUUUAAGCCUAACUCAACUCCACAAAACCGGCUUGUAGGGUGAGGUUUGCACCCACUUAUAUACUCUUAAUUGGCCAUAUCUCUAGUCGAUGUGAGACUUCCAACACACCUCCCUCACGUCGAGGUAUAUACAUCUUGAGCGUGGGAUUAGACAUUUAAUGGGUGGUCCGAUAACGGUCCGAUAGCGAGUGGAACAACAUGUCCAACAACAACAGAUAUCGCUAGGAUAGGCUCUAACCUAGCUCUGAUACCAAGUAGAAAAUAAGACUGAAAUUUAUUACUCAGAAUAAAUUGAAAAUACAUUCUUAUAUUCUCUAUUUGUAAUAAUCUAAUUCUCCUAAAAAGGAAAAUAGGGAAACUAGGCAAACAAAAUAAAAUAAAUAAAAUAGAAGAUUGUAUAUCUAUUUUCUCUAAUUAAGAAGAUUCUAAAGAUAUCUUUUCUAAUUACAACAGUUUAUAAAUCAUUAAUGUUAUUAUCAGUGCUUCAAAAAAUAUGUGUCAAAAUACCAAACCAAACCUAACUAAAAAAUGUGUCAACGAAGCAAUGUGCAGCAACCAACCUAACUUCACGACAAAGCCCUCCUAAUGCCAAGCUCCACGAACCACCACCCCUGCUGCAACACACAAAACAAAGAAGAAGAACCCUAGCCACCCAACCCACAAACUAGCCACCAAGGAACCACUAUCAUCGUUCCCAACAACAACCUCUUGAAAUCGACUUAGGGUGACCAAUCUCACGCUGACAAAAGCCAAUGUGCACGAAUCUUUGAAGAAGGAAGGGAAGACACCAACCUACCAACGAACCGUUGCCACCGUCCGAACCACCAAGCUCUUCAAACCGACCCGGGAACACCAACUUCGUGCCCACACAAGGUUUACGUCAUGAGAACAGGGAAGGGAGGAGAAGAGUACUGAAAUUAAUUUUGGAGAAUUUGGGAAAGGAAUACCCUAAUUUCAAACUUAAUGCAUUGUGAACAUUACCGAAGACCAAAGAUCGUCUGUAAAAACAAUAAAUAGGCCACGAUAAAUCCUCCUGUAAUCAUCCAUUACCUAAGGCUUAAAGACCGUCAGUGAAUGCCUUUGGUAAUCAGCGUUUUUAUUGCAGUAAUGAACCUAAGACAAAAAUGCAUGUAGACUCAAUAUUAAUGUCAUCAAUGGACAAUUGCGUUGUAUAACUCUUUUACUUGUUGCUAGGACUAAAGAGCUUUGAGUUGACGAUAAGCAAUUUAGAUGAUUGGGAUAUUUUGAGAGAGAUACUGAGUUUUGUGAAGUGACCCGAUAGUUGACUUUAUAUUUAAAGUUCAUUAUUUCUUUUCUGAUUUGGUAUUUAGUCAAUAAAAUUUAGGCCCACGUUUAUGUAAAAUUUGAUUGUUACUAAUACUAUUUCACCUUGUAGGAG